AGUACGACGGAGCACGUGAAAUUCCGUCGGAAUCUGGGAGGACCAUCUCCUAAGGCUAAAUACUCUCUAGUGACCGAUAGUGAACCAGUACCGUGAGGGAAAGGUGAAAAGCACCCCGGAAGGGGAGUGAAAUAGAACCUGAAACCGUGUGCUUACAAGUAGUCAGAGCCCGUUAAUGGGUGAUGGCGUGCCUUUUGUAGAAUGAACCGGCGAGUUACGAUUUGAUGCAAGGUUAAGCAGUAAAUGUGGAGCCGUAGCGAAAGCGAGUCUGAAUAGGGCGUUUAGUAUUUGGUCGUAGACCCGAAACCAGGUGAUCUACCCUUGGUCAGGUUGAAGUUCAGGUAACACUGAAUGGAGGACCGAACCGACUUACGUUGAAAAGUGAGCGGAUGAACUGAGGGUAGCGGAGAAAUUCCAAUCGAACCUGGAGAUAGCUGGUUCUCUCCGAAAUAGCUUUAGGGCUAGCCUCAAGUGAUGAUUAUUGGAGGUAGAGCACUGUUUGGACGAGGGGCCCCUCUCGGGUUACCGAAUUCAGACAAACUCCGAAUGCCAAUUAAUUUAACUUGGGAGUCAGAACAUGGGUGAUAAGGUCCGUGUUCGAAAGGGAAACAGCCCAGACCACCAGCUAAGGUCCCAAAAUAUAUGUUAAGUGGAAAAGGAUGUGGCGUUGCCCAGACAACUAGGAUGUUGGCUUAGAAGCAGCCAUCAUUUAAAGAGUGCGUAAUAGCUCACUAGUCGAGUGACACUGCGCCGAAAAUGUACCGGGGCUAAACAUAUUACCGAAGCUGUGGAUUGUCCUUUGGACAAUGGUAGGAGAGCGUUCUAAGGGCGUUGAAGCAUGAUCGUAAGGACAUGUGGAGCGCUUAGAAGUGAGAAUGCCGGUGUGAGUAGCGAAAGACGGGUGAGAAUCCCGUCCACCGAUUGACUAAGGUUUCCAGAGGAAGGCUCGUCCGCUCUGGGUUAGUCGGGUCCUAAGCUGAGGCCGACAGGCGUAGGCGAUGGAUAACAGGUUGAUAUUCCUGUACCACCUAUAAUCGUUUUA
This 1042-nucleotide ribosomal RNA is filed under the name Staphylococcus aureus. RNAcentral's name for it is "partial 23S ribosomal RNA". It matches the Rfam family "Bacterial large subunit ribosomal RNA", at positions 411 to 1461 of the family's 2925-position model. Lineage: Bacteria; Bacillati; Bacillota; Bacilli; Caryophanales; Staphylococcaceae. The record is from RNAcentral.